RNAcentral lists this ribosomal RNA (377 nucleotides) under uncultured bacterium. Its description in RNAcentral is "bacterial SSU rRNA". It matches the Rfam family "Bacterial small subunit ribosomal RNA", at positions 521 to 895 of the family's 1533-position model. The record is from RNAcentral.
UAAUACGGAGGGGGUGAGCGUUAUUCGGAAUUAUUGGGCGUAAAGGGCGCGUAGGCGGCUUGGCAAGUCAAAGGUGAAAUCCCUCGGCUCAACUGAGGAACUGCCUUUGAAACUGCCUGGCUUGAGGCCGGGAGGGGGUAGCGGAAUUCCCAGUGUAGCGGUGAAAUGCGUAGAUAUUGGGAGGAACACCAGUGGCGAAGGCGGCUACCUGGACCGGUUCUGACGCUGAUGCGCGAAAGCGUGGGUAGCAAACAGGAUUAGAUACCCUGGUAGUCCACGCUGUAAACGAUGGGUGCUCGGUGUCGCGGGUAUCGACCCCUGCGUGUGCCUUAGCUAACGCGUUAAGCACCCCGCCUGGGGAGUACGGUCGCAAGGCU